AGUCUCUUGCUUGUUAAUCUGUUCUAGUCUGAUAGCUGACAUUUUUCACAAUUAUUUCUAGGCUCUCUGUUUAACUUGGGUCAAACUAAAAUGGAGCAUCUAAACCAUCUUUUGAUUAUUCUGUUCUAUACUGUUUUAAUCGGUUCUACUGGCUCCAAUGCAGUUUCCUCAAUCCCCAUAACCACUACUCCUACUCCUACCACCACAACCUCAACUACAACCUCAACUACAACCCCCACAACCACUACUCCUACUCCUACCACCCCCACAACCACUACUCCUACUCCUACCACCCCCACCCCCACAACCACUACUCCUACC
This is a long non-coding RNA of Physella acuta, 321 nucleotides long. RefSeq lists it as uncharacterized. Lineage: Eukaryota; Metazoa; Mollusca; Gastropoda; Physidae. The record is from RefSeq and is a predicted model, not a curated record.